This 429-nucleotide ribosomal RNA is filed under the name Acidobacteriota bacterium. Its description in RNAcentral is "Acidobacteria bacterium partial 16S ribosomal RNA". It matches the Rfam family "Bacterial small subunit ribosomal RNA", at positions 355 to 776 of the family's 1533-position model. The record is from RNAcentral. Lineage: Bacteria; Pseudomonadati; Acidobacteriota.
UGGGGAAUUUUGGACAAUGGGGGAAACCCUGAUCCAGCCAUCACGCGUGUGCGAUGAAGGCCUUCGGGUUGUAAAGCACUUUUGGCAGGAAAGAAACGUCAUGGGUUAAUACCCCGUGAAACUGACGGUACCUGCAGAAUAAGCACCGGCUAACUACGUGCCAGCAGCCGCGGCAAUACGUAGGGUGCAAGCGUUAAUCGGAAUUACUGGGCGUAAAGCGUGCGCAGGCGGUUCGGAAAGAAAGAUGUGAAAUCCCAGAGCUCAACUUUGGAACUUCAUAUUUAACUACCAGGCUAGGGUGUGUCAGAGAGAGGAGGAAUUCCGCGAGUAGCAGUGAAAUGCGAGGAUAUGCGGAGGAACACCGAUGGCGAAGGCAGCCUCCUGGGAUAACACUGACGCUCAGGCACGAAAGCGUGGGGAGCAAACAGG